Molecule: ribosomal RNA, 252 nt
Filed under: uncultured bacterium
Lineage: Bacteria
Description: partial 16S ribosomal RNA
Rfam family: Bacterial small subunit ribosomal RNA
Source: RNAcentral
UACGUAGGGUGCAAGCGUUAAUCGGAAUUAUUGGGCGUAAAGCGCGCGCAGGCGGUUUUGUAAGUCUGGUGUUUAAUCCCGGGGCUCAACCCCGGUUCGCACUGGAAACUGCAGGACUUGAGUGCAGAAGAGGAGAGUGGAAUUCCACGUGUAGCGGUGAAAUGCGUAGAGAUGUGGAGGAACACCAGUGGCGAAGGCGACUCUCUGGUCUGUAACUGACGCUGAGGCGCGAAAGCGUGGGGAGCAAACAGG